GCAUCAGGGGCCUCUUUGAACCAUAACCAUUACAGUCCUCUGUACUGUUUUUGGUGCUUGAAUUACCCAUCUUAAGCCCACUUAUACAAAACAAUUUCCUCAAAGUAUUCAGACUGCCUUCUAUCAUAGCACAUGGUGCUAGAUCACUAAUUAGCAGACAUUGUCCAUUUGUUACAUGCAUCUUCUGGAAAAUAGCUAAUUGAAUCACAAAGAAAAUGAAAACGGCUCCUCCAUUCCAACUAGAACAAAUGGUCCUGUUUCAGACUAAUCGAUUUGUUUAGAAGGAAUACAAGUCUUCUAAACACAUCUUGGACUUCAGUGGCAUAGGUACACCAACAGACAACAUGUGAGGAAGUCAUCUCUUUCUACUCUCCCAAAUUACUGAUUGAAUCUAAAAGGAUGGCUGUAAUCAAGUUUUGCCAGGAGUAAUUUCUGCAGUUUUAUUGACUUAAUAAAUUACAUGUAACAUUGUUGGAGUUUAG
This is a non-coding RNA of Pelobates cultripes (western spadefoot toad), 482 nucleotides long. NCBI's taxonomy places the organism in Eukaryota, Metazoa, Chordata, Amphibia, Anura, Pelobatidae. The record is from the annotation of a GenBank genome assembly.